UACAGAGGUCCCAAGCGUUGUUCGGAUUCAUUGGGCGUAAAGGGCUCGUAGGCGGCCAACUAAGUCAUACGUGAAAUCCCUCGGCUUAACCGGGGAACUGCGUCUGAUACUGGAUGGCUUGAGUUCGGGAGAGGGAUGCGGAAUUCCAGGUGUAGCGGUGAAAUGCGUAGAUAUCAAGUGGAACACCAGUGGCGAAGGCGAGUCUCUGGACAUUUCCUGACGCUGAGGCACGAAAGCCAGGGGAGCAAACGGG
Molecule: ribosomal RNA, 253 nt
Filed under: uncultured bacterium
Lineage: Bacteria
Description: partial 16S ribosomal RNA
Rfam family: Bacterial small subunit ribosomal RNA
Source: RNAcentral